GAUGAACGCUGGCGGCGUGCCUAAUACAUGCAAGUCGAGCGAACAGACGAGGAGCUUGCUCCUCUGACGUUAGCGGCGGACGGGUGAGUAACACGUGGAUAACCUACCUAUAAGACUGGGAUAACUUCGGGAAACCGGAGCUAAUACCGGAUAAUAUGUUGAACCGCAUGGUUCAACAGUGAAAGACGGUCUUGCUGUCACUUAUAGAUGUAUCCGCGCCGCAUUAGCUAGUUGGUAAGGUAACGGCUUACCAAGGCAACGAUGCGUAGCCGACCUGAGAGGGUGAUCGGCCACACUGGAACUGAGACACGGUCCAGACUCCUACGGGAGGCAGCAGUAGGGAAUCUUCCGCAAUGGGCGAAAGCCUGACGGAGCAACGCCGCGUGAGUGAAGAAGGUCUUCGGAUCGUAAAACUCUGUUAUUAGGGAAGAACAAAUGUGUAAGUAACUAUGCACGUCUUGACGGUACCUAAUCAGAAAGCCACGGCUAACUACGUG
RNAcentral lists this ribosomal RNA (497 nucleotides) under uncultured bacterium. RNAcentral's name for it is "partial 16S ribosomal RNA". It matches the Rfam family "Bacterial small subunit ribosomal RNA", at positions 28 to 507 of the family's 1533-position model. The record is from RNAcentral.